Non-coding RNA from Benincasa hispida (wax gourd), 736 nucleotides. The record is from RefSeq and is a predicted model, not a curated record. Lineage: Eukaryota; Viridiplantae; Streptophyta; Magnoliopsida; Cucurbitales; Cucurbitaceae.
UCUCCUUUUACUCUGCACCACAAGAAAAAGAUAAGAGAAUUGUUAUUUGCAUCUUCAAAUUCUUCCUCUCAAUUCCGUAACCCUUUCAAAAGAACACACUAAUGGAUUCUUGCCCAGAGUCAUAGUCAAGGAGAAGACUUUUUUGGAGGAGAUUCGAAUAGGAAAGUACUACUGAAAAUUGAUGGAAGAGAGUCUUCAAAGCAGCAGAGAAGUCUUUUGGGAACUGAUCGCUACCUGAAAGGAAAACAUUUGAAAACAUGAGCUAGAAUGCCCAGGAGCUGGCGUAGUGGCGCCAAAAGGUAGAAUGCCCCGUUUUGGUACAGCGCCACAAUGCUCCGGAUAUUGACAAAAAAUGGGAAGGUCACACACAUGACCAUGUGAUGGGCACCGCGGUGCCUCGCCCUAUGCGAGGCCCAGCGCUUCGACAAGGGGUGUCAAUGCCGUGACACUGCCUCACUUUUUAUAAAAAGAAAUUUUUCUUUCAGGGUUUGAUGAUGGUUGAAGGCAUGGAGGCUGAGGAAUUCUUCAAAAUUUCUCUUUCUCUUCGUAUUUCUAUCAUCUUUAGGUUAGAUUUUUAAUUUCUUUUGGGUGUAAUCAAAGAUUUAUAGCUCCCCCUCUUCCUCUUGUCUAUGAGAUGUUAAGCUAAGGUUUGCUAGUUUUUUAGAGCAAGUUCUAUGUUGUUUUGUGAGAUUUCUUAAUGAAUUAUCUAUGCAUUUUGGUUUGUGUUUUCUUUGAA